Molecule: small nucleolar RNA, 130 nt
Filed under: Nannospalax galili (Upper Galilee mountains blind mole rat)
Lineage: Eukaryota; Metazoa; Chordata; Mammalia; Rodentia; Spalacidae
Description: Small nucleolar RNA SNORA31 (ENSNGAG00000004534.1)
Source: RNAcentral
GUGAAUUUAUUUGACAGACCCAAAGCAGUUACUGUCAGCUUCUAAGGUUUCAAUUACAGAUGCGAGAAGAAAGUCUCCUUGUGCUUUAUGUCUGAUUGUGGCAGCCAAAAUUAAAUAGGGGAGCACAGGG